This 654-nucleotide ribosomal RNA is filed under the name uncultured bacterium. RNAcentral describes it as "bacterial SSU rRNA". It matches the Rfam family "Bacterial small subunit ribosomal RNA", at positions 9 to 672 of the family's 1533-position model. The record is from RNAcentral.
GAGUUUGAUCCUGGCUCAGGAUGAACGCUGGCGGCGUGCUUAACACAUGCAAGUCGAACGGGAUCCAUGGUGUCGCAAGACAUCGGACGAUCUAGUGGCGAACGGGUGCGUAACACGUGAGGAACCUACCCCGGACUCUGGAAUAACAAGUGGAAACACUUGCUAAUACCGGAUGCCGUCACAUUGCCACAUGGUGGAGUGACGAAAGAUUUAUCGGUCUGGGAGGGCCUCGCGGCCUAUCAGCUUGUUGGUGAGGUAACGGCUCACCAAGGCAUCGACGGGUAGCUGGUCUGAGAGGAUGAUCAGCCACACUGGGACUGAGACACGGCCCAGACUCCUACGGGAGGCAGCAGUGGGGAAUCUUGCACAAUGGGCGAAAGCCUGAUGCAGCAACGCCGCGUGCGGGAAGAAGGCCUUAGGGUUGUAAACCGCUUUCAGUAGGGAAGAGAAUGACGGUACCUAUAGAAGAAGGUGCGGCCAACUACGUGCCAGCAGCCGCGGUGACACGUAGGCACCAAGCGUUAUCCGGAUUUAUUGGGCGUAAAGAGCUCGUAGGCGGUUCAGUAAGUCGGGUGUGAAAACUCAGGGCUCAACCCUGAGCUGCCACUCGAUACUGCUGUGACUUGAGUAUGGUAGGGGAGCGCGGAAUUCCCG